AUGUGAAGAUGGGUAUUGACGUGCUGGACUGGCAUGUGCCUGAGAACUGCCUUCAGUAACAGUUCAUGAUGUGCCUGUCUUGCCACUGAAUGUUUUACUUGGCCUUUCCGUAUCAUGUAAGGCAAUAGCUGGAUUGAAAGGACAGAAAUUUAUAGGGCUAAUCUGGGAGAGGUAAAAAGCCCUGCAACAUCCAUGGAUUUCAAAGACAAUCUUAAAUAGAGAAUUACAGGGGGGCCUACAGGAAAGCUGGAGAGGGACUUUUUAAAGGGCAGGUAGUGACACGACAAGAGGAAAUGGCUUUAAACUUGAAGGUGGAAGAUUUAGACUAGAUACUAGGAAGAAAUUCUUUACUGUGAGGGUGGCAAGACACUGGAACAGGUUGCUCAGAGAGGUUGUGGAUGCUCCCUCCCUGGAGGCAUUCAAGGCCAGGCUGGAUGGGGCUUUGAGCAGCUUGGUCUAGAGGGAGGUGUCCCUGCCUAUAGCAGGGGGGUUGGAACUAGGUGAUCUUAAAGGUCCCUUCCAACCCAAACCAGUCUAUGAUUCUAUGAUUCUGUGAUUUUUCCUGAUGUGAUCCUGCUGUGCCACGGCUACAGGAGCACAGACAGUGUUGUGAACCCUCUGGUCUUUCUAAUGUCACAUGGGAGUAAAGGAACAGCUGCAGGAACUGGUACAGACUUCAUGUGGCAGAGCGGACAACUGAGGCUGAGCAGAGGUGCAGACAUUAAAUAUUGACAGGCAGUGUCUCUUGACAAUUUUACCUGCUUUCUCUUGGGUUUUCUUCUCUUUUCCUGUAAUCUUCCCUAAAGCCAGAAACCUUGUGAAAUGCAAUCUUUUUUUUUUUUUUUUUAAAUAAUUUUAUCUAGCAGAAACAGAACUGACUUUUGGCAGAAAGAAACCGGAGAGCUGUUAAGGAAUAGACGGAUAGGAGCAGUAAAUAAGGUCAGCAUUUGUUUCUGUACUCUGCUACACAGAAAAGGAGUGCACCAAGGAACGCUGGUGAGACCUGGCCAUUCUAGAUCCAGCGGGUUGGAGCAUGAGCAGAAAGGCUGCUGGCGGGUCCUCAGCACUGCAUGUCAUUAG
RNAcentral lists this long non-coding RNA (1080 nucleotides) under Numida meleagris (helmeted guineafowl). RNAcentral's name for it is "lncRNA (ENSNMEG00000010573.1)". The record is from RNAcentral. Lineage: Eukaryota; Metazoa; Chordata; Aves; Galliformes; Numididae.